UGGCCGCAGUAUUUUGACCGUGCUAAGGUAGCAUAAUCAAUAGUUUUUUAAUUGAAAGCUGGAAUGAAGGGUUGGAUAAGAAAAUAACUGUUUUUAUUUUAUUUAAUUAGAAUUUUAUUUUUAAGUUAAAAAGCUUAAAUUUUAUUAAAAGACGAGAAGACCCUAUAGAGUUUUAUAAUUUUAAAGGUUUUUAGAUUAAGAAUUUAUUUUUUAAAUUUUUAAAAUUAUUUAAUUGGGGUGAUUAAAAAAUUAAUAUAACUUUUUUUUUAUAUUUACAUUAUUAAUUGAAUUUUUGAUCCAUAUUUAAUGAUUAUAAGAUUAAAUUACCUUAGGGAUAACAGCGUUAUUUUUUUUGAGAGUUCAA
This 364-nucleotide ribosomal RNA is filed under the name Phaedon brassicae (daikon leaf beetle). RNAcentral's name for it is "partial 16S ribosomal RNA". The record is from RNAcentral. Lineage: Eukaryota; Metazoa; Arthropoda; Insecta; Coleoptera; Chrysomelidae.